RNAcentral lists this ribosomal RNA (477 nucleotides) under uncultured organism. RNAcentral describes it as "partial 16S ribosomal RNA". It matches the Rfam family "Bacterial small subunit ribosomal RNA", at positions 333 to 801 of the family's 1533-position model. The record is from RNAcentral.
ACACUCCUACGGGAGGCAGCAGUGGGGAAUUUUGGACAAUGGGCGAAAGCCUGAUCCAGCCAUGCCGCGUACAGGAUGAAGGCCUUCGGGUUGUAAACUGCUUUUGUACGGAACGAAACGGCCUUUUCUAAUAAAGAGGGCUAAUGACGGUACCGUAAGAAUAAGCACCGGCUAACUACGUGCCAGCAGCCGCGGUAAUACGUAGGGUGCAAGCGUUAAUCGGAAUUACUGGGCGUAAAGCGUGCGCAGGCGGUUAUGUAAGACAGUUGUGAAAUCCCCGGGCUCAACCUGGGAACUGCAUCUGUGACUGCAUAGCUAGAGUACGGUAGAGGGGGAUGGAAUUCCGCGUGUAGCAGUGAAAUGCGUAGAUAUGCGGAGGAACACCGAUGGCGAAGGCAAUCCCCUGGACCUGUACUGACGCUCAUGCACGAAAGCGUGGGGAGCAAACAGGAUUAGAAACCCCAGUAGUCCCAUGAU